Homo sapiens (human) is the source of this 2390-nucleotide long non-coding RNA. Ensembl annotates it as TAGAP antisense RNA 1. Its record names the gene TAGAP-AS1. NCBI's taxonomy places the organism in Eukaryota, Metazoa, Chordata, Mammalia, Primates, Hominidae. The record is from Ensembl.
GCUGUACAGGAGGCAUGGCUGGGGAGGCCUCAGAAAACUUACAAUCAUGGCAGAAGGUGAAGGGGAAGCCAGCACAUCUUCAUAUGAUGGCAGGAACUUUAUAUGUUAUAGAAGUUAGCCCCAAGAAUGAAAUCGUGUCCUUUGCCAAAACAUGGAUGGAGCUAGAGGCCUUUAUCCUAAGGUGCUCUAUGCUUAGCCCAUCAUAGAUUGUGGCCCUUCAUUCCUGCAUUUGAUGAAUCCAGGGAACCCUCUCUCCAACACCCUUGGCCUCUCUGCAACUUUCUAACAUCAGGCAGAGUCAGAGGCACCAUCCCCAGAAGCUACAAAUCUUCAGCAUUCUCCACUCUGUGAAGUCAGAGGAAUGGCGGGACCAUAGCUCUGAGCUCAUUGGCAAAUACAACUAAUUUCAAUUUCUGGAAUGGAAGCAGUCAGAUAUUCUUCUGACUGCACGCGUAUGUGGGAGUGCCAUGUUGAAGAGUGGAAAAUAUGGAAGAUCAGUCCCUACAAACUUAAUAGGAGAAUGACAUUCAGAUUUCCCGAGUAUUUUGCAUGUCCAACUGAAAACUGAAGUAGGUUUAUGAGAGAAUGCACGCCUACCUGGAUGGGUCUGGGGAGUGUGUCACUGUCACCGCAGAUAAUUGACAAGGGCUGAUCAAAUAGCGAUGCUUUCAAGUCUGUCUCCAAAGCCCCAGAAAAAUCUGAUGCAGGGGAGAGCCUUCUCAUGAGAAAGGGCCAGGACAGCACCUUCUUUCUCUUCUUAACUUCUACAGCCAAGAAAACAAGGCAACGAGAAAAAUUAGACUACAGUGUUAAGAAGCAAAGAUCCAGUAUUCACCUGAGCAGUGAAGAUAAUCUCUGGUUCUAGAGAACCCAGAAAUAAAGCCACAUGUUUACAACUAAGUUAUCUUCAACAAAACUGACAAGAACUUUCAUUGGGGAAAGGACACCCUUUUCAAUAAAUGGUGCUGGGAGAAUUGGAUAUCCACAUGCCGAAGAAUGAAACUGGACCUGUAUCUCUCACCAUAUAAAAAAAAUCAACUCAAAAUGGAUUAAAACCAACCGAAGACCCCAAACUGUAAAAAUACUAGAAGAAAACUUAGGGAAAACUCUCCUGGAGAUUGGUCUAGGAGAAUAAUUUAUGACUAAGACCUCAAAAGCACAGGCAACAAAAACAAAAAUAGACAAAUGGGACUUAACUAAACUAAAAAGCUUCUACACAGCAAAAGAAAUAAUCAACAGAGUAAAGAGACAAUCAGUUGAAUGAGAAAAAAAUAUUUGCAAACUAUUCUUCUGACAGGGGACUAAUAUCCAGAAUAUACAAGGAAUUCAAACAACUCGACAGGAAGAAUCAAAUAAUCCCAUUAAAAAGGGGGCAAAGGACAUGUAUAGAUAUUUCUCACAAGAAGGUAUACAAAUGGCCAAAGAUAUAUGAAAAAAAUGCUCAACAUUGCUAAUCAUCAGAGAAAUGCAAAUCAAAACAAUGAGAUAUCAUUUUACCCCAGUUAGAAUGGCUGUUAUUAAAAAGAAAAAAUAAGAGAUGUUGGCAAGGAUGUGAAGAAAAGGAAACUCUUAUACACUGUUGGUGGGAAUGUAAACUAGUACAGCCAUUAUGGAAAACAGUAUGGACAUCUCUCAAAAAACUGAAAAUAGAAUUACUAUUCUAUCCAGCAAUUCCACAACUGGGUUUUUAGCCAAAGGAAAAGAAAUCAAUAUAUAAAGGGAUCCUUGCACUCCUAUGUCUAUUACAGCACUAUUUACAAGACAAUGAUAUGGAAUCAACUAAGUGCCCAUCAACAGAAGAAUGGAUAAAGAAAAUGUGGUAUAUAUACACAGUGGAACCCUAUUCAGCCAGAAAGAAGAAUGAAAUCAAGUCAUUUGCAGCAAUGUACCUGGAACUGGAGGUCAUUAUUGUAAGUGAAAUAAGCCAAGCAUAAAAAGACAAAUAUCUCAUGUUCUCCCACUUAGAUGUGAGAGCUGAAAUAUCUGAUCACAUGGUGGUAGAAAGUGGAAAGAGAGAACAGAGAUGGGAAGGGUGAUUGGGGUAAAGGGGUGAGGAUGAAGAGAACUGGGUUAAAGAACACACAUACAAUUAGAUAGAAAUAAAUUCAAUUUGUAAAAAAUAAUUUAAAAAAUUAGAGAUGGGAUCUCGCUGAGUUGUCUAGGCUGGCCUUAAACUCCUGGGCACAAGCAAUCCUCCCACCCUGGCCUCCCAAAGUGUUGGGAUUAUAGGCUUGAGCCACCGUACUGGGCCUAAAUUCAUUGUUUGGUAGCAGAGCAGGAUGAGUAUGGUUAAACAAAAAUGUAUUGUACGUGGGUGAUGGAUAUCCUAAAUACCCUGACUUGAUCAGUAUACAUUAUAUACAUGUAACAAAAUUUCACAUGUACCCCAU